This 29-nucleotide non-coding RNA is filed under the name Rattus norvegicus (Norway rat). Lineage: Eukaryota; Metazoa; Chordata; Mammalia; Rodentia; Muridae. The record is from RNAcentral.
UAUUAAGACUGCCUCUAAUUUUCGUGGAA